AAAUUGAAGAGUUUGAUCAUGGCUCAGAUUGAACGCUGGCGGCAGGCCUAACACAUGCAAGUCGAGCGGUAGCACAGAGAGCUUGCUCUCGGGUGACGAGCGGCGGACGGGUGAGUAAUGUCUGGGAAACUGCCUGAUGGAGGGGGAUAACUACUGGAAACGGUAGCUAAUACCGCAUAAUGUCGCAAGACCAAAGUGGGGGACCUUCGGGCCUCAUGCCAUCAGAUGUGCCCAGAUGGGAUUAGCUAGUAGGUGGGGUAACGGCUCACCUAGGCGACGAUCCCUAGCUGGUCUGAGAGGAUGACCAGCCACACUGGAACUGAGACACGGUCCAGACUCCUACGGGAGGCAGCAGUGGGGAAUAUUGCACAAUGGGCGCAAGCCUGAUGCAGCCAUGCCGCGUGUGUGAAGAAGGCCUUCGGGUUGUAAAGCACUUUCAGCGGGGAGGAAGGCGUUAAGGUUAAUAACCUUGUCGAUUGACGUUACCCGCAGAAGAAGCACCGGCUAACUCCGUGCCAGCAGCCGCGGUAAUACGGAGGGUGCAAGCGUUAAUCGGAAUUACUGGGCGUAAAGCGCACGCAGGCGGUCUGUCAAGUCGGAUGUGAAAUCCCCGGGCUCAACCUGGGAACUGCAUUCGAAACUGGCAGGCUAGAGUCUUGUAGAGGGGGGUAGAAUUCCAGGUGUAGCGGUGAAAUGCGUAGAGAUCUGGAGGAAUACCGGUGGCGAAGGCGGCCCCCUGGACAAAGACUGACGCUCAGGUGCGAAAGCGUGGGGAGCAAACAGGAUUAGAUACCCUGGUAGUCCACGCCGUAAACGAUGUCGAUUUGGAGGUUGUGCCCUUGAGGCGUGGCUUCCGGAGCUAACGCGUUAAAUCGACCGCCUGGGGAGUACGGCCGCAAGGUUAAAACUCAAAUGAAUUGACGGGGGCCCGCACAAGCGGUGGAGCAUGUGGUUUAAUUCGAUGCAACGCGAAGAACCUUACCUGGUCUUGACAUCCACAGAACUUUCCAGAGAUGGAUUGGUGCCUUCGGGAACUGUGAGACAGGUGCUGCAUGGCUGUCGUCAGCUCGUGUUGUGAAAUGUUGGGUUAAGUCCCGCAACGAGCGCAACCCUUAUCCUUUGUUGCCAGCGGUUAGGCCGGGAACUCAAAGGAGACUGCCAGUGAUAAACUGGAGGAAGGUGGGGAUGACGUCAAGUCAUCAUGGCCCUUACGACCAGGGCUACACACGUGCUACAAUGGCAUAUACAAAGAGAAGCGACCUCGCGAGAGCAAGCGGACCUCAUAAAGUAUGUCGUAGUCCGGAUUGGAGUCUGCAACUCGACUCCAUGAAGUCGGAAUCGCUAGUAAUCGUAGAUCAGAAUGCUACGGUGAAUACGUUCCCGGGCCUUGUACACACCGCCCGUCACACCAUGGGAGUGGGUUGCAAAAGAAGUAGGUAGCUUAACCUUCGGGAGGGCGCUUACCACUUUGUGAUUCAUGACUGGGGUGAAGUCGUAACAAGGUAACCGUAGGGGAACCUGCGGUUGGAUCACCUCCUUA
This 1540-nucleotide ribosomal RNA is filed under the name Klebsiella pneumoniae. RNAcentral's name for it is "bacterial SSU rRNA". It matches the Rfam family "Bacterial small subunit ribosomal RNA". Lineage: Bacteria; Pseudomonadati; Pseudomonadota; Gammaproteobacteria; Enterobacterales; Enterobacteriaceae. The record is from RNAcentral. RNAcentral also lists the same sequence under 2 other names.